GGUGAACCUGCGGAAGGAUCAUUGUCGAGCACCUCCGACGCUGAUGCUGGCCGUCUCGACGGCAUGUGCACGCGUCGGAUUGACCUCAUUCACCCACCGUGCACCUCUGGUAGGUCGGGGAAACCCGGUCUACGAUCGCAUACACGCAUAUAUACAUGUCGUAGAACUAGAUUGUAAUAACAAUACAACUUUCAACAACGGAUCUCUUGGUUCUCGCAUCGAUGAAGAACGCAGCACUGAAGACCAUGCUCAGCAAGCUCCUCGGUGAAUGAUACAUUGAAUCAACAUUGAUUUCAUCACUCCCCACCCUGGAUCUCUUGGCUCUCGCAUCGAUGAAGAACGCAGCA
This 347-nucleotide unclassified non-coding RNA is filed under the name Lichenomphalia grisella. Its description in RNAcentral is "sequence contains 18S rRNA gene, ITS1". The record is from RNAcentral. Lineage: Eukaryota; Fungi; Basidiomycota; Agaricomycetes; Agaricales; Hygrophoraceae.